CGGGUGAGUAAUGUAUGGGGAUCUGCCUGAUGGCGGGGGAGUAACUACUGGAAACGGUAGCUAAUACCGCAUAAUGUCUGCGGGCCAAAGCGGGGGGACCUCCGGGCCUCGCGCCAUCAGAUGAACCCAUAUGGGAUUAGCUUGUAGGUAAGGUAACGGCUUACCUAGGCGACGAUCCCUAGCUGGUCUGAGAGGAUGAUCAGCCACACUGGGACUGAGACACGGCCCAC
Molecule: ribosomal RNA, 230 nt
Filed under: uncultured bacterium
Lineage: Bacteria
Description: partial 16S ribosomal RNA
Rfam family: Bacterial small subunit ribosomal RNA
Source: RNAcentral